GACGAACGCUGGCGGCGUGCUUAACACAUGCAAGUCGUACGGUAAGGCCCUUUCGGGGGUACACGAGUGGCGAACGGGUGCGUAACACGUGAGUAACCUGCCCACAACUUUGGGAUAACGCUAGGAAACUGGUGCUAAUACUGGAUAUGUGCUCCUGCUGCAUGGUGGGGGUUGGAAAGCUCCGGCGGUUGUGGAUGGACUCGCGGCCUAUCAGCUUGUUGGUGGGGUAGUGGCCUACCAAGGCGGCGGCGGGUAGCCGGCCUGGGAGGGUGACCGGCCACAUUGGGACUGGGAUACGGCCCAGACUCCUACGGGAGGCAGCAGUGGGGAAUAUUGCACAAUGGGCGCAAGCCUGAUGCAGCAACGCCGCGGGCGGGAGGACGGCCUUCGGGUUGUAAACCGCUUUCAGCAGGGACGAAGCUUUUUGUGACGGUACCUGCAGAAGAAGCACCGGCUAACUACGUG
RNAcentral lists this ribosomal RNA (465 nucleotides) under uncultured bacterium. RNAcentral's name for it is "partial 16S ribosomal RNA". It matches the Rfam family "Bacterial small subunit ribosomal RNA", at positions 28 to 507 of the family's 1533-position model. The record is from RNAcentral.